Non-coding RNA from Ceratotherium simum simum (southern white rhinoceros), 138 nucleotides. The record is from RefSeq and is a predicted model, not a curated record. NCBI's taxonomy places the organism in Eukaryota, Metazoa, Chordata, Mammalia, Perissodactyla, Rhinocerotidae.
UGCCACAGAAGUGGUUCAGUGUAACAGUCUCAGCCUCCUGUUGGUGUAAAUUUUGCUAAGUGUAUUUCCUUGCCAAGAAGUCAAGCUGCUCAAAUCUUACGGUGGACUGAAGAGGUCUGGGACACACAUGACAGUUUU